CCUACGGGAGGCAGCAGUGGGGAAUCUUGCGCAAUGGGGGAAACCCUGACGCAGCAACGCCGCGUGGGUGAUGAAGGCCUUCGGGUCGUAAAGCCCUGUCAGGUGGGAAGAAACUUGUGGAUGUUAAUACCAUCCGCACUUGACGGUACCACCGGAGGAAGCACCGGCUAACUCCGUGCCAGCAGCCGCGGUAAUACGGAGGGUGCAAGCGUUGUUCGGAAUUAUUGGGCGUAAAGAGCUCGUAGGCGGCUCAGCAAGUCGGCCGUGAAAACCCGGGGCUCAACCCCGGGACGCCGGUCGAAACUGCUGUGGCUAGGGUCCGGUAGAGGAGAGUGGAAUUCCCGGUGUAGCGGUGAAAUGCGCAGAUAUCGGGAGGAACACCAGUUGCGAAGGCGGCUCUCUGGGCCGGUACCGACGCUGAGGAGCGAAAGCUAGGGGAGCAAACAGGAUUAGAUACCCUGGUAGUCCUAGCAGUAAACGUUGGGCACUAGGUGUGGCGGACUCAUUGACGUCUGCCGUGCCGAAGCUAACGCAUUAAGUGCCCCGCCUGGGGAGUACGGUCGCAAGGCUAAAACUUAAAGGAAUUGACGG
This 591-nucleotide ribosomal RNA is filed under the name uncultured bacterium. RNAcentral describes it as "bacterial SSU rRNA". It matches the Rfam family "Bacterial small subunit ribosomal RNA", at positions 338 to 916 of the family's 1533-position model. The record is from RNAcentral.